RNAcentral lists this ribosomal RNA (528 nucleotides) under uncultured bacterium. RNAcentral's name for it is "bacterial SSU rRNA". It matches the Rfam family "Bacterial small subunit ribosomal RNA", at positions 355 to 899 of the family's 1533-position model. The record is from RNAcentral.
UGGGGAAUCUUGCACAAUGGGCGAAAGCCUGAUGCAGCAACGCCGCGUGCGGGAAGACAGCCCUAGGGUUGUAAACCGCUUUCAGCAGGGAAGAAACUGACGGUACCUGCAGAAGAAGAUGCGGCCAACUACGUGCCAGCAGCCGCGGUGACACGUAGGCAUCAAGCGUUAUCCGGAUUUAUUGGGCGUAAAGAGCUCGUAGGCGGUUCGGUAAGUCGGGUGUGAAACUCUGGGCUCAACCCAGAGAGGCCACUCGAUACUGCUGUGACUAGAGUGCGGUAGGGGAGCGGGGAAUUCCUGGUGUAGCGGUGAAAUGCGCAGAUAUCAGGAGGAACACCAGUGGCGAAGGCGCCGCUCUGGGCCGUAACUGACGCUGAGGAGCGAAAGCAUGGGUAGCAAACAGGAUUAGAUACCCUGGUAGUCCAUGCCGUAAACGUUGGGCACUAGGUGUGGGUCUCAACCGAACGAGAUCCGCGCCGUCGCUAACGCAUUAAGUGCCCGCCUGGGAGUACGGUCGCAAGACUAAAA